RNAcentral lists this ribosomal RNA (250 nucleotides) under uncultured bacterium. RNAcentral describes it as "partial 16S ribosomal RNA". It matches the Rfam family "Bacterial small subunit ribosomal RNA", at positions 525 to 775 of the family's 1533-position model. The record is from RNAcentral.
ACGUAGGGGGCGAGCGUUAUCCGGAUUCAUUGGGCGUAAAGCGCGCGUAGGCGGCCGCUCGAGCGGGACCUCUAACCCGGGGGCUCAACCUCCGGCCGGGUCCCGGACCGUGCGGCUCGGGUGCGGUAGGGGCAGGCGGAACUCCAAGUGUAGCGGUGAAAUGCGCAGAUAUUUGGAGGAACACCGAUGGCGAAGGCAGCCUGCUGGGCCGCCACCGACGCUGAGGCGCGAAAGCCGGGGGAGCGAACAG